RNAcentral lists this ribosomal RNA (405 nucleotides) under uncultured Lactobacillus sp. Its description in RNAcentral is "bacterial SSU rRNA". It matches the Rfam family "Bacterial small subunit ribosomal RNA", at positions 142 to 524 of the family's 1533-position model. The record is from RNAcentral. Lineage: Bacteria; Bacillati; Bacillota; Bacilli; Lactobacillales; Lactobacillaceae.
AGUAACACCUGGAAACAGAUGCUAAUACCCGGAUAACAACAGAUGAUGCCUAUCAACUGUUUAAAAGUAAUGGUUCUGCUAUCACUCUUGGGAUGGACCCUGCGGUGCAUUAGCUAGUUGGUAGGGUAACGGCCUACCAAGGCGAUGAUGCAUAGCCCGAGUUGAGAGACUGAUCGGCCACAUUGGGACUGAGACACGGCCCAAAACUCCUACGGGAGGCAGCAGUAGGGAAAUCUUCCACAAUGGACGCAAGUCUGAUGGAGCAACGCCGCGUGAGUGAAGAAGGGUUUCGGCUCGUAAAGCUCUGUUGUUGGUGAAGAAGGACAGGGGUAGUAACUGACCUUUGUUUGACGGUAAUCAAUUAGAAAGUCACGGCUAACUACGUGCCCAGCAGCCGCGGGUAAU